Molecule: non-coding RNA, 1090 nt
Organism: Callithrix jacchus (white-tufted-ear marmoset)
Lineage: Eukaryota; Metazoa; Chordata; Mammalia; Primates; Cebidae
Source: RefSeq, a predicted model, not a curated record
UUCUCAUAGGCCCAUAAGUUUAAACAUUUUAAUGAUAUACUUUAUUUAAGCCAAUAUAUCCAAAGUAAGAUUUCGACGUGCAAUCAAUAGAAAAACUAAAUGCGAUGUUUUAAUACUUUUGAAAAUCGUACGUGUUUCUGAAACCCAGUGUAGUGUUGACUUGCAUGUGUGGCAAUUCCGGCCGUCUGUAUUUCAAGGGGUUAGCGGCCACCUGCGGCCAGUGCUGCCUCAUCGGGGCACAGGCAGCAUGAUUAUUACUGUUAUUAUGACUCUGAUUAUUACAUAGCAUAAUUAUUAAUAUAGGAUACAUUAUAUACUAUUAUUACGAUAAUUAUUAUAUAGCGUGAUUAUUGAUAUUAUUAUUAUUGAGACAGAGUCUCCUGCUGUCACCCAGGCUGGAGUGCAGUGGCCCGAUCUCGGCUUACUGCAACCUCUACCUCCUGGGUUCAAGCGAUUCUCCUGCUUCAGCCCCCUGAGUACCUGGGACUACAGGUGUGAGCCACGGCGCCUGGCCCACAGGCAGCUUUAGAUGCUCUAGUAGGAGCUCAGCACAUUCAGUUGGAUUCUUUUUCUAAGAUGGGUUCUCACUAUGUGCCCAGACUAGUCCUGGACUCCUGGGCCAAAGCAAUCCUUCCACCUCCACCUCCAGAGUAGCUGGGACUACGGACGUGUGCCACAACGCCCGGAGUUUGAUUCUUGAGUCUCCCUCCGGAGGAGCCAGACCAUACAAAGAUUAACGCAGAAUGCUAAAUGGGGGUUGAAAUAGUAGAUACUAUGGGCAAGGAGAAGGAGAUCAAUUUUGUUAAGUUUCUUCCUCCUCUUCCUGGGACAGCAACCAUCCAAUUUAACCUUUCAUCCUCUCCUACUACCUAAUCCUUGAAAAAUGCAAGUCCAAAAUCAUUUCAUCACCAGUAAUUGUCUUUAAAUUGCUCCAAUAAUUUGCAAAGACAAAGGGGAAAAGAGAAAGAUGAAAAAGCCAACUGCCCAGAGAAACAGAUUUUAUAAACAAUCUAAAAUCUAGUAUGCUUAUGCUAUCAAGUUUUUAAAACACUCUCAUAGUCUGGAAUAAAACCAAAUUAUGAUAAAAACA